AAAGAGGCUUUCCAUGAGAACGGAUCAAGCGUUCGAGAGUUGGGACAGGGAAAUGUGAGACGUACUUUCAUGUAUAUAUUUCUAAUAUUAUUUUUUCGUCUUGUAUUCUCGUUAAUUUUUCUCUAGGAAACACUGGAACGACACUGCUUAAAUUGAAGCACAGUGUGCGAAUGACCUGCUACGCUCGGAACUGUUAUCACCAUUCGGGAAGAAAUUGGGUAAGAAUGGAUUGUGUGUGGCGCGCUUCACCGCAUGUGGACUAGAGUAGAUCUAGGAACAUCAGACAAGAAGACACGUAUGUGAAACCCUGCGGAUAGCCCAUAUGUGAACUUUUUUUCCAGAUACGGAGGAACGGACACCGGUCGUGCCGUGAGCACUAUUCUGCAGGGCAUACUUACAAAUGAAGCUGCACUGCAGUUCAGCUGGAAAGGGUCGCAGGGAGGAAGCACGCCUUCGUGAAGCUCAUGGCCAUCACGAAUAUAACAUCUGUGAGGAGCACGUUCCCUGACGCUUCACUAGCAUCAGUGGCCGGAGUCGCAAAACGCUGGUUGGUUGGAGCAGCUGACAGGGAUGGAGGCCGGAAUGAAAGAAGGCGCCGUGACCGUGC
RNAcentral lists this long non-coding RNA (607 nucleotides) under Dermacentor andersoni. Its description in RNAcentral is "uncharacterized LOC126544979". Lineage: Eukaryota; Metazoa; Arthropoda; Arachnida; Ixodida; Ixodidae. The record is from RNAcentral.